This 77-nucleotide non-coding RNA is filed under the name Oceanicella actignis. Its description in RNAcentral is "Pleomorphobacterium xiamenense Glycine sequence". It matches the Rfam family "Glycine riboswitch aptamer". Rfam says of the family: This family represents the bacterial glycine riboswitch. Glycine riboswitches usually consist of two metabolite-binding aptamers domains with similar structures in tandem. Lineage: Bacteria; Pseudomonadati; Pseudomonadota; Alphaproteobacteria; Rhodobacterales; Paracoccaceae. The record is from Rfam by way of RNAcentral.
GUGACCGACUCUGGAGAGUGGCGCGCGGCGCCCGCCGAAGGGAUAGCGAUCUCAGGCGAAAGGACAGAGGGGGCGUC